CAGUAGCCGCGGGAAUACGUAGGGUGCAAGCGUUAAUCGGAAUUACUGGGCGUAAAGCGUGCGCAGACGGUUAUAUAAGUCAGAUGUGAAAUCCCCAGGCUCAACCUGGGACCUGCAUUUGUGACUGUAUAGCUAGAGUACGGUAGAGGGGGAUGGAAUUCCGCGUGUAGCAGUGAAAUGCGUAGAUAUGCGGAGGAACACCGAUGGCGAAGGCAAUCCCCUGGACCUGUACUGACGCACAUGCACGAAAGCGUGGGGAGCAAACAGGAUUAGAUACCCGCGUAGUCCCUGUCUCUUAUAC
Molecule: ribosomal RNA, 301 nt
Filed under: uncultured bacterium
Lineage: Bacteria
Description: partial 16S ribosomal RNA
Rfam family: Bacterial small subunit ribosomal RNA
Source: RNAcentral